AAAUUGAAGAGUUUGAUCAUGGCUCAGAUUGAACGCUGGCGGCAGGCCUAACACAUGCAAGUCGAACGGUAACAGGAAACAGCUUGCUGUUUCGCUGACGAGUGGCGGACGGGUGAGUAAUGUCUGGGAAACUGCCCGAUGGAGGGGGAUAACUACUGGAAACGGUAGCUAAUACCGCAUAACGUCGCAAGACCAAAGAGGGGGACCUUCGGGCCUCUUGCCAUCGGAUGUGCCCAGAUGGGAUUAGCUAGUAGGUGGGGUAACGGCUCACCUAGGCGACGAUCCCUAGCUGGUCUGAGA
RNAcentral lists this ribosomal RNA (300 nucleotides) under Shigella flexneri. RNAcentral describes it as "partial 16S ribosomal RNA". It matches the Rfam family "Bacterial small subunit ribosomal RNA", at positions 1 to 297 of the family's 1533-position model. Lineage: Bacteria; Pseudomonadati; Pseudomonadota; Gammaproteobacteria; Enterobacterales; Enterobacteriaceae. The record is from RNAcentral.